This 64-nucleotide transfer RNA is filed under the name Tenebrionoidea sp. 19 KM-2017. RNAcentral's name for it is "tRNA-Trp". The record is from RNAcentral. Lineage: Eukaryota; Metazoa; Arthropoda; Insecta; Coleoptera.
AAGGAUUUAAGUUAUAUUUAAACUAGUGACCUUCAAAGUCAAAAAUAGGAUUGUCUAAUCCUUG